This 262-nucleotide ribosomal RNA is filed under the name uncultured bacterium. RNAcentral describes it as "partial 16S ribosomal RNA". It matches the Rfam family "Bacterial small subunit ribosomal RNA", at positions 524 to 777 of the family's 1533-position model. The record is from RNAcentral.
UACGUAGGGUGCGAGCGUUGUCCGGAAUUAUUGGGCGUAAAGAGCUUGUAGGCGGUUUUGUCGCGUCUGCUGUGAAAUUUCGGGGCGUCAACCCCGAACCUUGCAGUGGGUACGGGCAGGACUAGAGUGUGGUAGGGGAGACUGGAAGUUCCUGGUGUAGCGGUGGAAUGCGCAGGAUAUCAGGAGGAACACCGAUGGCGAAGGCAGAUCUCUGGGCCGUAACUGACGCUGGAGGAAGCGAAAGCGUGGGGAGCGAACAGGA